AUUGAACGCUGGCGGCAUGCCUUACACAUGCAAGUCGAACGGCAGCACGGGAGCAAUCCUGGUGGCGAGUGGCGAACGGGUGAGUAAAGUAUCGGAGCGUGCCCAGUCGUGGGGGAUAACGUAGCGAAAGUUACGCUAGUACCGCACACGAUCUAUGGAUGAAAGCGGGGGAUCGCAAGACCUCGCGCGAUUGGAGCGGCCGAUAUCAGAUUAGGUAGUUGGUGGGGUAAAGGCCCACCAAGCCGACGAUCUGUAGCUGGUCUGAGAGGACGACCAGCCACACUGGGACUGAGACACGGCCCAGACUCCUACGGGAGGCAGCAGUGGGGAAUUUUGGACAAUGGGCGAAAGCCUGAUCCAGCCAUGCCGCGUGCAGGAUGAAGGCCUUCGGGUUGUAAACUGCUUUUGUACGGAACGAAAAGGACUGCCCUAAUACGGUGGUCCCAUGACGGUACCGUAAGAAUAAGCACCGGCUAACUACGUGCCAGCAGCCGCAGUAA
This 500-nucleotide ribosomal RNA is filed under the name uncultured bacterium. RNAcentral's name for it is "partial 16S ribosomal RNA". It matches the Rfam family "Bacterial small subunit ribosomal RNA", at positions 29 to 523 of the family's 1533-position model. The record is from RNAcentral.